Molecule: ribosomal RNA, 448 nt
Filed under: uncultured bacterium
Lineage: Bacteria
Description: bacterial SSU rRNA
Rfam family: Bacterial small subunit ribosomal RNA
Source: RNAcentral
UACCAGACUCCUACGGGAGGCAGCAGUGGGGAAUAUUGCACAAUGGGGGGAACCCUGAUGCAGCGACGCCGCGUGGGCGAGGAAGUAUUUCGGUAUGUAAAGCCCUAUCGGCAGGGAAGAAGAAAUGACGGUACCUGAAUAAGAAGCACCGGCUAAAUACGUGCCAGCAGCCGCGGUAAUACGUAUGGUGCAAGCGUUAUCCGGAUUUACUGGGUGUAAAGGGAGCGUAGACGGCAGUGCAAGUCUGGAGUGAAAGGCGGGGGCUCAACCCCCGGACUGCUCUGGAAACUGUACGGCUGGAGUGCAGGAGAGGUAAGUGGAAUUCCUAGUGUAGCGGUGAAAUGCGUAGAUAUUAGGAGGAACACCAGUGGCGAAGGCGGCUUACUGGACUGUAACUGACGUUGAGGCUCGAAAGCGUGGGGAGCAAACAGGAUUAGAUACCCCGGUA